Molecule: ribosomal RNA, 423 nt
Filed under: uncultured Thermoprotei archaeon
Lineage: Archaea; Thermoproteati; Thermoproteota; Thermoprotei
Description: partial 16S ribosomal RNA
Source: RNAcentral
GGACUACGCGGGUAUCUAAUCCGGUUCGCUCCCCCAGCUUUCAUCCCUCACCGUCGGGCGCGUUCUAGCAGACAGCCUUCGCCACUGGUGGUCUUCCCGGGAUUAUAGGAUUUCACCCCUACCCCGAAAAUACCGUCUGCCUCUCUCGUCCCCUAGCCAAGCAGUAUCCCCCGCGAUCCAACGAUUAAUUCGGUGGAUUUAACAAGGGACUGACCUAGCCAGCUACGGAUGCUUUAGGCCCAAUAAACAUCCACACCACUCGAAGAGCUGGUAUUACCGCGGCGGCUGACACCAGACUUGCCCUCUCCUUAUUCCCCCAGCUUUCUAGACUGGGUAAAAGCCUUCCUCAGCGGAUGGCACUCGGGAUAGCCCUGUCAAGCUUUCGCUUAUUGCAAAGGUUUCGCGCCUGCUGCCCCCCAUAGG